This 659-nucleotide ribosomal RNA is filed under the name uncultured bacterium. Its description in RNAcentral is "bacterial SSU rRNA". It matches the Rfam family "Bacterial small subunit ribosomal RNA", at positions 139 to 813 of the family's 1533-position model. The record is from RNAcentral.
GGGAAUAACAGUGAGAAAUCAUUGCUAAUACCGCAUAUGCUCACAGUAUCACAUGAUACAGUGAGGAAAGGAGCAAUCCGCUGAUAGAUGGGCUUGCGUCUGAUUAGUUAGUUGGUGGGGUAACGGCCUACCAAGACUACGAUCAGUAGCCGGACUGAGAGGUUGAACGGCCACAUUGGGACUGAGAUACGGCCCAGACUCCUACGGGAGGCAGCAGUCGGGAAUAUUGCGCAAUGGAGGAAACUCUGACGCAGUGACGCCGCGUAUAGGAAGAAGGUUUUCGGAUUGUAAACUAUUGUCAUUAGGGAAGAUAAAAGACUGUACCUAAGGAGGAAGCCCCGGCUAACUAUGUGCCAGCAGCCGCGGUAAUACAUAGGGGGCAAGCGUUAUCCGGAAUUAUUGGGUGUAAAGGGUGCGUAGACGGAAGAACAAGUUGGUUGUGAAAUCCCUCGGCUCAACUGAGGAACUGCAACCAAAACUAUUCUCCUUGAGUGUCGGAGAGGAAAGUGGAAUUCCUAGUGUAGCGGUGAAAUGCGUAGAUAUUAGGAGGAACACCAGUGGCGAAGGCGACUUUCUGGACGAUAACUGACGUUGAGGCACGAAAGUGUGGGGAGCAAACAGGAUUAGAUACCCUGGUAGUCCACACUGUAAACGAUGGA